Molecule: non-coding RNA, 88 nt
Organism: Lentinula aciculospora
Lineage: Eukaryota; Fungi; Basidiomycota; Agaricomycetes; Agaricales; Omphalotaceae
Source: the annotation of a GenBank genome assembly
UCCCUGGUAAUAUAUCGGUUAGUACACGCGCCUGUCAUAUUGAAGUGUUUAAUCGCGCGAAAGCUGGGUUCGACUCCCAGCCAGGGAG